AAGUCGUAACAAGGUUUCCGUAGGUGAACCUGCGGAAGGAUCAUUACCGAGUGAGGGCCCUCUGGGUCCAACCUCCCACCCGUGUCUAUCGUACCUUGUUGCUUCGGCGGGCCCGCCGUUUCGACGGCCGCCGGGGAGGCCUUGCGCCCCCGGGCCCGCGCCCGCCGAAGACCCCAACAUGAACGCUGUUCUGAAAGUAUGCAGUCUGAGUUGAUUAUCGUAAUCAGUUAAAACUUUCAACAACGGAUCUCUUGGUUCCG
Molecule: unclassified non-coding RNA, 260 nt
Filed under: fungal sp.
Lineage: Eukaryota; Fungi
Also listed under: 1 other name
Description: partial contains small subunit ribosomal RNA, internal transcribed spacer 1, and 5.8S ribosomal RNA
Rfam family: Eukaryotic small subunit ribosomal RNA (bases 1-46)
Source: RNAcentral